GAGUUUGAUCCUGGCUCAGGACGAACGCUGGCGGCAUGCCUAACACAUGCAAGUCAAGGGGUAGCAAUACCACUGGCGCACGGGUGAGUAACACGUAGUUAUCUGCCCCCAUCACAGACAUAACCUCGGGAAACCGAGGCUAAUAUCUGAUGAGGUCGUGAGAUCAAGGCUUCGGCGGAUGGGGAUGAGCCUGCGGCUGAUUAGCUAGUUGGUGAGGUAAUGGCUCACCAAGGCGACGAUCAGUAGCUGGUCUGAGAGGACGAACAGCCACACUGGAACUGAGACACGGUCCAGACUCCUACGGGAGGCAGCAGUGAGGAAUAUUGGUCAAUGGGAGCAAUCCUGAACCAGCAAUGCCGCGUGUGGGAUGAAGGCGCUUCGCGUCGUAAGCCACUGUCGGACGGGACGAAAGGAGCUAUGAAGCUCUAGGACGGUACCGUCAAAGGAAGGAUCGGCUAACUACGUGCCAGCAGCCGCGGUAAUACGUAGGAUCCAAGCGUUGUCCGGAUUUACUGGGUAUAAAGGGUGCGUAGGCGGCCUUGUGCGUCAGAGGUGAAAUCUCCGGGCUUAACCCGGAGGGUGCCUUUGAUACGGCAGG
Molecule: ribosomal RNA, 598 nt
Filed under: uncultured bacterium
Lineage: Bacteria
Description: bacterial SSU rRNA
Rfam family: Bacterial small subunit ribosomal RNA
Source: RNAcentral